RNAcentral lists this unclassified non-coding RNA (267 nucleotides) under Steccherinum sp. RNAcentral describes it as "partial internal transcribed spacer region". The stretch from base 1 to 46 matches the Rfam family "Eukaryotic small subunit ribosomal RNA", at positions 1786 to 1831 of the family's 1831-position model. Lineage: Eukaryota; Fungi; Basidiomycota; Agaricomycetes; Polyporales; Steccherinaceae. The record is from RNAcentral.
AAGUCGUAACAAGGUUUCCGUAGGUGAACCUGCGGAAGGAUCAUUAAUGAAUGAAAUUGAGUGGGGUUGUAGCUGGCCUUUCACGGGGCAUGUGCACACCUCAUUCGACCACCUUCUACACCUCUGUGCACUUCUCAUGGGUUGGGUUCCGUCUGAAACACGACGAAGCCCGGCCUGUGUGUUACCAUACAAACAACUUGUCAAAGAAUGUCACUAUCAUGCUCUAAGCAUAUAAUACAACUUUCAACAACGGAUCUCUUGGCUCUC